This 253-nucleotide ribosomal RNA is filed under the name uncultured bacterium. RNAcentral's name for it is "partial 16S ribosomal RNA". It matches the Rfam family "Bacterial small subunit ribosomal RNA", at positions 524 to 776 of the family's 1533-position model. The record is from RNAcentral.
UACGUAGGGGGCAAGCGUUAUCCGGAUUUACUGGGUGUAAAGGGAGCGUAGACGGCAAUGCAAGUCUGGAGUGAAAGGCGGGGGCCCAACCCCCGGACUGCUCUGGAAACUGUAUAGCUGGAGUGCAGGAGAGGUAAGUGGAAUUCCUAGUGUAGCGGUGAAAUGCGUAGAUAUUAGGAGGAACACCAGUGGCGAAGGCGGCUCUCUGGCCUGUAACUGACACUGAGGCUCGAAAGCGUGGGGAGCAAACAGG